Molecule: long non-coding RNA, 2054 nt
Organism: Tachysurus fulvidraco (yellow catfish)
Lineage: Eukaryota; Metazoa; Chordata; Actinopteri; Siluriformes; Bagridae
Exons: 3
Source: RefSeq, a predicted model, not a curated record
UUUUUUUUUCCAAGUUUCAAUGUUAAAAAAAAAAAAAAAAGUACAAUUUUGGUGAUUGUAAUAACGUAGGUAUGACUUUAAACAAAUUAGCAUAUCGUGACGUCACUGACUGGUUCUUCAUCCCGUGACUUCAGGCGCAUCAUCGCAAACCUUAUUUUGAUGCUGGACAGUUUUCCCAGAACUUCGUGCCAAGUUAAAGCGGUGUCGAGCUGCUUUGAUGAAUUUUUUAGAUGUAUUAUGGUGCCCGAACCCGUUAAUAUUAUUUUAUUGCUUUUGUAUUAUUUGUUUGAACUAAUCUCUAUACAUGAUCCGUAUACGUGUAUAUAUCAGGGCCGUGCACAGGGGCGUGGCCGGAUGGCCAAGCCACUGCCCCUCUGCCCUCAUCGACUGAGGUGCCCCUGUUCCCCACCCCCACCGCUCCGCUCAAAGCAUUCCGCUGAUUCCGCUAAUCCGCUCCAGGUUUUCCAGCUCGCUCCGCACGCCGCAAGCGCAGCAUCACUUACAGUAUGUGUCUGUGGCGCUCUCUUGAAUCUAGGACUGAACACGACACGAAAGUUCACGAGUUCACGAAAGCUGUCGCAUUAACAGUUCAACACUGCAAACAUGGAUUAAAAGCUCCAGCAAGCCAGCAGGUAAAUCAUCAUAUAGAACAGUUAGCAGACACUUUAUCAGUUUAAUCCUUAUGAGGCAGAGGCAGCCUCAGAGAGUGAGGAAGAGCCCAUUGAGCAUCAGCCAAAUCAGACACUUACAAGUAAGUGUUUUUAAACUGGCUGACAGUAAAGGAUUCUGAAUAUGCUAUAGUUUGAUAACAAGAAAUAUAGUCAUUAAAUUAUUUGAAUGUAAGAGUAAUAUUACAAGAACAUAAAUUUUAUUAGCACUAAAGCCUAACAAUUGUGUUUAAAAUACGAUUGUAAUAGGUUUGUUAUUCAUUCUCUAUAUUAAGAUGAAACUGCCUCAGAAUAAACUCAGCAGAAUAAAAGUGUAGGUCUUGGAAUUGAGCCAGAGACAGAAAAAGUUCAGAAUGAGAAAGAAAAGCAAUACAAUGAGACAGAGAGGGAAGAGAUAGAUGCAGAACAGUAAGAAAUGGAGAGUGAGGCAGCCACAGCCAUGUCACAAGGGAGAAAAAGCCAGAAGACUUUGAGUUUUUGCUUCAAUUACAAAAUCCAUCAGAUCCUGCUCAUGUAAAGAAAUACGAUAUAACAUACAAUGUGGCCUUCACAAAAUUUUCAAAUUCAGUAGGACCCUGUCGUCCAAUUUUGCCGUUCCCAAAAAAUGAACGAGGACGUUCGUUUCAGGGACAGUGGUAUGAAGAACACCCCUGGUUAGGAUAAAUAGAAAGGUUUUGCUGUAAAAGGGAAAGGUAAAUAUAAAAAUGUAAAACAGCAAAUAGUUUCUGUUAUUAUCAUCAAUGUCUAAUUGUGAAUCAUAAAAAAAUUGGUGAUCUUGGUGAUCUUUCAGGACAUGGUACCAAAUAAAAAAGUGUUGCUGUAAAUGGAACAGGUAAAUAUAAAAAUGUAAAACAGCAAAUAGUUUCUGUUAUUAUCAGCAAUGUGUAAUUGUGAAUCAUAAAAAAAUUGGUGAUCUUGGUGAUCUUUCAGGACAUGGUACCAAAUAAAAAAGUGUUGCUGUAAAUGGAACAGGUAAAUAUAAAAAUGUAAAACAGCAAAUAGUUUCUGUUAUUAUCAGCAAUGUGUAAUUGUUGUUAUGUUCUAUCAAAACAUCUACAAUAAAGUCUAAAAUGUAUUUGAGCAUGUGCUAUCUUCUGUUGAAAUUGUACAUUUUGUAAUACCUGGAUAAUUUGUGUUAACAAGCAACCACCCCCUUAGUGCCCCUUUUUUUGGUUUAGGCCACUGCCCCUCAAAAUGUCUGUGCACGGCCCUGGUAUAUAUUGUACAAAAGUUCUAAAGUAAACUCUUUAUCGUACCUGACGCACAAUACUGUUAUUUGCACUACCAUGCACUCUCACACUUUAUGUACAUUACUGAUCUGUCAUAUACUCUGUAUUCCUAUUUAAUACUUGUACUGUCUGUAUUGUCUCAUAUAGUCUGUUUUGU